This is a non-coding RNA of Rhopilema esculentum, 957 nucleotides long. Lineage: Eukaryota; Metazoa; Cnidaria; Scyphozoa; Rhizostomeae; Rhizostomatidae. The record is from RefSeq and is a predicted model, not a curated record.
UUGAACCAAAUUCUAAUUCGGUUAUUUCACACGAGCAUCCUGCGAGAACGCCGGAUAUUGUUGUUGUUGUCAGGAGAAAUUGGGAGGGAGAAACUGACUGUUCAAGAAUCCGGAACGAAAAGAUUGCAGCAGGCCAGUUUGCAUGUGGCGUGCUAAUGUUUGUUGUCGGUAUACUGCAGUUCACUUCCAUGCCGGAUAAUUCAGACGAUUUCAAAUUUUAUUUGCUUUUACUUGGAGGAAAUAUUCUAUACGCAGUUGGAAUAGCGGCCUUUAUAAUUUCAAGAAGAAAACAAAGCAAAUGCAAGUUUGGAAUCCUAUUUUGCUUGAACGUAUUCUGUGUACUGCUUAUGACAGCAGUGGCAGUAUCUAGUCCGCUCAAUAUUAUUGCUUGUAAGCGAGUGUUGUGCCAACUGUCCAGUGCAAUUGCUAUCGUACUUGGUUUCAUUGGAGCCACAUUAUCAGCAUUUAAAUCUCAUAACCUCUGGAUAAAACUCCGAACAGAAGAGGCAUGUAUAAAUCUACUGUAAUAUAAUCGUCAUUAUCAACAAUUAUUAAAGGGUAUGGGGGUUGCGUUGUGCGUUACCCCCGUAAUAUUUUUUGUCAUUUGCUCAAUUUUGCUUUGAUUCUUUAAAGAGAUUUUUUGGCAGUAAAACGUGGUUAAAUGACGCCAAAUUUUAAAUAGAUCUAUCUUCUUAUAUUCUUUAUCAUAUAGUCUAAAAUGGAAACGUUUUCCCUAUAAGAUGAUAUUUUCUUUCAUUUUCCAAGGAUCUGAAAAGUGUGGUACCAAAAUCCAUAAAUUAUCUAACACCCCUCUUUCGUUGCUUAUAAAAUGUAUCCCUGAUUUAUUAAUAAUCACCAUCGGUCAUUAUCAUCAAUCCUGGGCUGCAAGUUUUCCCAAAGGGGGCCCAAGUUCUCCUACAGGGGUCACAAGCUCUCCUACAGGGGUGCAAGUUCUUU